ACUACCUCGGGGUUGCCCCUGGAGAAUUUCUAGUAUUUUACCAGUCUCAACUAUAGGAGAGAGAGUCAAGCAGAGGCCUAUCAAUUCCAUUCCUAGCUUGGCCAGUGGCUAGCGAGUGGAAAGCAAUCUGCUACAAGU
Ornithorhynchus anatinus (platypus) is the source of this 138-nucleotide small nucleolar RNA. NCBI's taxonomy places the organism in Eukaryota, Metazoa, Chordata, Mammalia, Monotremata, Ornithorhynchidae. The record is from RefSeq and is a predicted model, not a curated record.